GUUUUUUACCCGUCUUCCUUCUUGUCUUUCUUGUGGUCUUCUGUCCUCUCUCUUUCUGCCCCAUCACCUGUAACCUAUCCCUUUCUCCUCUGUUACCUUAUCCGCACUAACUAGGUCCUUUCUGCAGUUUUGUUUCUUUCCUCCUCUGAACACAAAGCGCUUUUUAUCUCUGUCCUCCAUGCCAGUUAAUGCCACCCAGCACCCGUCUACAAUGAAUCUCUUUGUCUGCUGUUGC
This is a non-coding RNA of Pelobates cultripes (western spadefoot toad), 235 nucleotides long. The record is from the annotation of a GenBank genome assembly. NCBI's taxonomy places the organism in Eukaryota, Metazoa, Chordata, Amphibia, Anura, Pelobatidae.